This 329-nucleotide unclassified non-coding RNA is filed under the name soil metagenome. RNAcentral describes it as "partial contains 5.8S ribosomal RNA, internal transcribed spacer 2, and large subunit ribosomal RNA". The stretch from base 1 to 120 matches the Rfam family "5.8S ribosomal RNA", at positions 35 to 154 of the family's 154-position model. The record is from RNAcentral.
GAUGAAGAACGCAGCGAAAUGCGAUAAGUAAUGUGAAUUGCAGAAUUCAGUGAAUCAUCGAAUCUUUGAACGCACAUUGCGCCCUCUGGUAUUCCGGGGGGCAUGCCUGUUCGAGCGUCAUUAUAACCACUCAAGCUCUCGCUUGGUAUUGGGGCUCGCGGUUCCGCGGCCCCUAAAAUCAGUGGCGGUGCCUGUCGGCUCUACGCGUAGUAAUACUCCUCGCGAUUGAGUCCGGUAGGUCUACUUGCCAGCAACCCCCAAUUUUUACAGGUUGACCUCGGAUCAGGUAGGGAUACCCGCUGAACUUAAGCAUAUCAAUAAUCGGAGGA